UGUGUGUGUGUGUGGCCUUCUCCUCACACCUGCCCACCAGGUGCCCGUGUGUGUGUGUGUGUGUGGCCUUCUCCUCACACCUGCCCACCAGGUGCCCGUGUGUGUGUGCAACGGCCUUCUCCUCACACCUGUCCAUGAGGGAGGGCUGUCACCAUAGGUGGGGAGACCGAGGCAGGAAAUGGCUGCUCGUUGUCCAUGAGCCUAAGAGACCCGGCUCCUGACGGCACCCCAUGGCCACGCCCAGCGCCCCUGCCCUGGCAGGAGAGGACAGUGCAGGGUAGACGGUGGACUCCAGUAGGGAGACAGGAGCACUCGGAAGCGAGCCCACCCACACUCAGGCCACGGAGGAAACCUCAGUGGACAUGGGCUCCCUGGGUCUCAGCCAAGGUGAGGAGAACCAGCCCGGUACCCCUCGCCCCUCCAGUGGGGGCCUCGGACCAGGGCCCAGGGGACUCGAGCGCCCAGGGGCUCCCCCGUUACAGGCCACAGCCCCCCACCCCUGCACACUGGACUUCUGCUUCCUGCUGGGUCACGGUGGGUCACUGUGGUGUGUGUCCAGGCAACAGAAAGACAUUCUCAGCUACACAGUGGCUCAGAAGCUGCCCGAGGGACCGUCCCUUCCUGAGGAGACAACUCAACAUUAACUACCCAGGAAAACAGGAGGUGACUCAAGAUCAGGGCCCAAGAACAGAGCGGCAAGGGGCGGCCGGGGGCCUGGCGAGGGCUGAGGGCAGACCAGUCGCAAGUCAGCGGACUCACAGCAGAGGUCAGCAGAGCCGGACCCCUCUGCUUCUCUAGGACAAGCCCGUGGGGCAGGCCAAGGUCAACCUCGGCACUGAGCUUCAAGCGGUGCUUUCAAGUCAGGAUGUUGAAGUUUGGCAAGAUGGUGUAAGUAAAAAGGAAUCCCCCGGGUCACUUUCUUUCCCAAGGAAAUGGCUGUAUAACCAGACACCAUCAUCUGCAGGGAGGGUGGGGACCCUGCCCGCAGCCCCUCCUACAUGUCACCAGCAAAUGUCAAGCGUGAGAGGCAGCAGGAGCCUGUCUGAGCCCAGGCCAGGAGCAGUGGGCCCACCCAGGGAGACGGGCCAAGGCCAUCUGUGUCCCUCCUUGGCAGCCCCUCCCUUCUCGCCUCCCUUGCCGGCCCCUGGACACCACCCUGGGCCUUCCCACCCGCAGCCACUCGGCCCCCAGGGCUCCGUCUGUGUAGCGCGAAGGCAGUUAGGUCAAGCCCCUGGCAGAGAAGUCUGAAAGCCAGUAUUGAAAAGCUGCCACGGGGCUGGCAGGGGGCCAGGCGCACCCUACCGCGCUUCCCCAGACCCCACCCCUCACUGUGGGCCUCGUGGGCAGGGCCGUUGGCACCCUGAAGCACAUCAGGGAUCCCCACCUCCCAGUUCUGGAGCAGGCUGCCCUGCGCGGGCCUCACCCAAACCUGAGCCAGUGCCUGUGUCCCAACGGGAGCCCAGGUGAUCAGUGGCACUUCUCAGAAACCUGCCGUGGACAUGGCUCGGUGGAAGGGACAACAGGGCACUUGGGAACAGAGUCCUGCGGUCAGUGCUGCACCUCGGUCGUUACAUUCAGGUCAGAGGGACUGGGAAGGUGGGUUAGGGUCCCUCAUGAGCUGACCUUAGAACAAGCAGGGAGGAGGCCUGGACAGGCCUCCCGACACACUGGUGCUUGACAAGCAGUACUUCCUCUGCCGGGUAGAGAAGAGGAGGCCAGAGAUCUCAUGUACCACAGCUGGCUCCUGGAGGGACGGGCCCAGGAGAGGCCCGAGAGUGACCCCCAGCACAGGAGUGCAGGCAGGAAGGGGACCUCCAUCCGGCAUCCACAUUCUGCUGACCACUGAAUGAGUCAAGAGGGGUCCUGAGCACCCAGAGAGAGCAGACUGGUGACAUUUGGGGUCAACCCCUGAUUCCUGAGCAGAGGACCUGGCCAGAAUUCUGACCCCAGGCUGGGAUCCAAGAAAGGGUGCAGUGUCGCCACUUGCUGGUUGAUUUUUCGGGAAGUAAAAGACCGAGGACGUGGAAUCGACUGUUUAACAUUUUACAAUGCACAAGUCAGGGCACUCUCACUAUUGGGCAACCACUGCCCUCUCUAGUUCCAGAACAUUCUCCCCUCCCCAGGGAGACCCAUCGGCAGUCAGUCCACCUCACUUCCACCCUCAGACCGAGACUCCACCACCCACUUUCCUUCUCUGGGCGUUUGCCUUCUGUGCUUUCCGUGUGGGCGGGACUACGGCAUGCCUUGCCCCUCCGUCCACCAGGACGCUGCCCAGGCCCCCUGGAGCAUCAGCGUGACGAUGCCCUCCCUUCAUUUGUCAGUAGACGCUCGGGCCAUUGCUGCCAUCUGUCAGCAGCCUGGUGCGGGCUUUUGCCCGGCCGCCUGUUCCCAUUUCUGUUGUGCGUGCCCAUCCCCAGGAGUGGACGUGCGGCUUGCUGAGGAGCCCCGACCGGUCUCCGCACAGCUGCUGCACUUUGCCUGCCCCUGCAACACGAGAGGCAGCCCUGCUGUCCACGGCGCGAGGCUGUGCAGGAAGGCGGUAGGAGACAAGCUCAGGGGCUGGUCAGGCCUGGGAGGUGGGUAGCGACGGGACCUCCCUCAUCCCAGGCUGCCAGCCUCCGCCCCAGCUCCCUGAGCCCCCAGGUGGAGUCAGAACAGCCCCAAGGGCCAUGGCAAGACCCCAGCACACAGGGGUGACAGGUCUCACUGGCAGACACCAGGAGGACCACACUGUGGCAGCUGGACCAGUGGUGGAGCCCAAGCCCUGCCCGGCUCUGGGCGAGAAGUGCCCGCCAGUGCAGGUCCCCUGAGCCCGUGAAGGUAGCCUUGUUUGGAGCUAGGAGCUGUCAGGUGUGACUAGCUGAGGAUCAGGAGGAGCUCUUCCCAGAGGGGAGCAGACCCCACGCCCAAGCUCUCGUCCUAAGAAAAGGGCUCUCAGGCCACAGGAAAGGAGGCCACGGGCAGAGAACAAGGCUUCCCAGCCAGGAGGGAGGACAGCCUCCAGCCAACCACACCCCUGCGCACCGCACUCACCCAGCAGGGGCCUGGAGGGGCGGGAGGCGGGAAGGAGGGGCCGACUCCAGGACUCAGCCCAGAGAAAGUCUGUGGGUCUCCAGGAACCCCCUCCGGCCCGCUGGCCCCUGGCCUCGCGGCGGCUGUGGGCUCCAGUAAAGCCCCCAGCAGGACUUUCUCCAAGCCAGGGAAACCCCGCUCCGGGGUUUUGGGACUCACUUUCAGGAGCACGUUCUACCGCAGACCUCGGGCAGGGAGGAAGUGAGCUGACCUUUCCCCAGGCCCAAAGGUCUCAGGUCUGGCGUCUGGCAGGAGGAGGAAGAGGCUCUGUCCGGCCAGACCUUGGACAGCAGGGCAGCAGGUCUCUGCCCAGGAUGCGCCCCGGCCUCACGGUGGCCACCCUGCGGCUCUGAGAGUUCUCCUGGGGCAGCAGGAGCGGGCGGCAGGAGUGGGCCUGGGUUGCAGAACUGCCCCCUUUGCUCUGGCCCUGUCAGGAGGCUGUGACCUCCCCAGCACCUGUCACAAGGUCACCUCUGACCUGCUGGGCCCCAUGGAAGUGUCCAGCGGAGGAAGCCUCCCUCCUGGAGUAGGGCCUGCUGACGUGGCCUCUCCUUGCCUGGACUGCACGUGUGCUCACCCGGGCACACACGCGCGCACACACACACACACACACGUGCAUACACACACACACGCAUGGCAAUGUAAACAGGAGGCAGUGAGUCAGCCACAGAAGUCCAGCAGGCAGGAGUCAGGAUCAGAGGCCACUGUUCCCACAGGGAACCAGAUCAGGAUGGCAGGGGGAAGGUUUUGGUUCCUCCUGACCUCUCAAGAAACGGUCUUGUCCUAGAACCUUCUUUCUGCCCAUCUGAGUACUAGAAAUGCCGUGGACCAGUCUGCUCCCCGCCCACCGUCAGUGGCCGUGGCUUCCUUGCUGAAAGGUGCCUUGAACUGGCCUGGCUGUGGCCUCGGCCGGCCGGGCCUCCUCCCUGGUGCUCCAGUUCUGCCCACACCUGUGCAGGUGGCCUUGCUCGGCAGGGUCUGCAGUGGAUCGGGAGAAGCUACUGGCCGGCAGCUAAGGGCUCCAGGAACCUCACUAUCCCUGCCCCCAUGGACCAGGGCUGCAGGUUCAGGUGUGGCCGCCAUAGGGGUAAAGGGAGGAUGCUGGGCACCAGGGCAGGGUCCAGUGUCCACACUGGCAGAUGUGUCUGCCACCCUGGGACCAGGUUCUAAAUGCAGAGUGCAUGGCUUCUGCGAAAACAAACCAAAUAUCUGAUUAAACAGAAAUUUGGAAAGUACAGAACAACACGGAGAAAAAUCUAAAAACCACCAGCCCACUCAGCCUUUAAAAAGAUGUUUCACUUGACAGAACUGAGCACAGCAAGCGACACAACAGAGAUGCUUAAAUGUGCACCCCACCGUGCCCACAGGAGUCUCGAGACGCAGUAACCGCAGUCCACACCUGUUCUGGCCCUGGGGACCACGUGCACACAGAGACAUGGCCAGUGCCAGACGGUGCCCCUGCAGCACCUCCCCACCUGGUCCUGCUGUCCUGCCGUCCCGCCGUGGCCUGUGGAGCAGCUACCCAGACCCAAGACUCACCUCGGGGCAGCGCCCCACACUCCACCCUCACCAGCAGCCAGGAUCCGGGUGCCGUGGGCCAUCCCAGAUUUUGUGGAUCCCAAACCAUGUUAUCAGUGGCCAUUUUUGAAGAGUGCACAAUGAAGAGGUGAGUGUGGGUUACAAAGUGGGCAGGUCCCCAUCUGCUUCCUGAUCCAGAGUCCACGUCCCUUGUGAUGGGAACCAGACCUGAUUAUAAAGUGAAGCUGUAAGAACAUUAGGAUGAAGACCCAGAGCCCGGGGGAGGGUCCGCUUCCCCUGCCCGAUUCAGCCUCUCUUCAGGGAGCCUGAUCCUGGCUGGUAGGAAUGGCGCCUCCGUAACUCUAGUGUCAAUCAUAGGUCACUAGGCCUGUCACCUGGCAGGUGUAACCUGGCGGGCUUAGCUCUCAGGGAGGUGAACUCAAGCCAGCUGGAGUUCCUGCUGCCUGUGGUCACUGCUGCAGGCCUGUCGCCCACCAGGUGACAUGCUGUCCGCUCUGGCCCCCAGCGGGAGAAGCCGGUCUGCAGGGCGAUGCCAUCUCUGGCUCCUGUGACCCACGCAGAAGACCCAGGCGGGCGCCAUCAGCAGAGGAGCCUGGGUGCAGGUCUCCAGGACAGAGGCAGAACCAUUCAGGCCCUCACGGCCAGGCACCCAGCAGGCCCGGCUGCCGGGGAGACCGGGUCAGACCCACCCAGGCAGGCUGGAGGGCACAGAGCCUCCCAGAGCACUCAGGCUACAGGAAAGUCACCUGCCAGGCCCGGUAGCAGCCGAGGCAGCGCUGGCUGACCAAGCUUCCUCAUCUUGUUUGGGAACAAACAUGAGCCUGGAGGGGUCACCUUCCUGAGACCCGACAGAGGCCCAGCCUGCUCCUCUGACUUCCUCCUCCUCAGAGGAAGAAGGACUCUGGAUGUCCCCUGGACGCCCUGCUGCUAGGCUGGGAGGG
Long non-coding RNA from Marmota monax (woodchuck), 5552 nucleotides. RefSeq lists it as uncharacterized. The transcript has 3 exons. NCBI's taxonomy places the organism in Eukaryota, Metazoa, Chordata, Mammalia, Rodentia, Sciuridae. The record is from RefSeq and is a predicted model, not a curated record.